This 253-nucleotide ribosomal RNA is filed under the name uncultured bacterium. RNAcentral describes it as "partial 16S ribosomal RNA". It matches the Rfam family "Bacterial small subunit ribosomal RNA", at positions 524 to 776 of the family's 1533-position model. The record is from RNAcentral.
UACGAAGGGUGCAAGCGUUACUCGGAAUUACUGGGCGUAAAGCGUGCGUAGGUGGUUUGUUAAGUCUGAUGUGAAAGCCCUGGGCUCAACUUGGGAACUGCAUCCGAUACUGGAUGGCUUGAAUUCGGGAGAGGGAUGCAGAAUUCCAGGUGUAGCGGUGAAAUGCGUAGAUAUCUGGAGGAAUACCGGUGGCGAAGGCGGCAUCCUGGACCGACAUUGACGCUGAGGAGCGAAAGCUAGGGGAGCAAACGGG